Small nucleolar RNA from Cannabis sativa, 107 nucleotides. The record is from RefSeq and is a predicted model, not a curated record. Lineage: Eukaryota; Viridiplantae; Streptophyta; Magnoliopsida; Rosales; Cannabaceae.
AUACCAUGGUGAGGGCACUUUCUUAGAAGAUCUUUAAACCGCUCCCAAGCAUCAUACAAAGACUCACCAUCAAUCUGACAAAAGUUAUUUAUUUAUCCCCUUAGUUU